This 448-nucleotide ribosomal RNA is filed under the name uncultured bacterium. RNAcentral describes it as "bacterial SSU rRNA". It matches the Rfam family "Bacterial small subunit ribosomal RNA", at positions 330 to 792 of the family's 1533-position model. The record is from RNAcentral.
CCCAGACUCCUACGGGAGGCAGCAGUGGGGGAUAUUGGACAAUGGGGGAAACCCUGAUCCAGCGACGCCGCGUGAGUGAAGAAGUAUUUCGGUAUGUAAAGCUCUGUCAGCAGGGAAGAAAGAAAUGACGGUACCUGAGUAAGAAGCCCCGGCUAACUACGUGCCAGCAGCCGCGGUAAUACGUAGGGGGCAAGCGUUAUCCGGAUUUACUGGGUGUAAAGGGAGCGUAGACGGCAGUGCAAGUCUGGAGUGAAAGGCGGGGGCUCAACCCCCGGACUGCUCUGGAAACUGUACGGCUGGAGUGCAGGAGAGGUAAGUGGAAUUCCUGGUGUAGCGGUGAAAUGCGUAGAUAUCAGGAGGAACACCGGCGGCGAAGGCGGCCUGCUGGACCGCGACUGACGUUGAGGCUCGAAAGCGUGGGGAGCAAACAGGAUUAGAUACCCCCGUA